GCUAAGUUUGCAACACCAUUUUCACCUGCGGAAGAGGUAAACGCUUAGAAAUAAAUACUAGGAAAAUAUGUUGUUACUGGAGCUAGUAGGCUGCCAUCAAAACGUGGACUAUGUAAUCAGAAAUGUGUUUACAACGCG
Long non-coding RNA from Etheostoma cragini (Arkansas darter), 138 nucleotides. RefSeq lists it as uncharacterized. Lineage: Eukaryota; Metazoa; Chordata; Actinopteri; Perciformes; Percidae. The record is from RefSeq and is a predicted model, not a curated record. The transcript is spliced from 3 exons.